Long non-coding RNA from Brassica rapa (field mustard), 775 nucleotides. RefSeq lists it as uncharacterized. The record is from RefSeq and is a predicted model, not a curated record. Lineage: Eukaryota; Viridiplantae; Streptophyta; Magnoliopsida; Brassicales; Brassicaceae.
UCAGAUGAUUUUUUAAAUUCACAAAUUACUAAAUCUAAAUCAAAAAGAAGAGAUCAAUCAGAAAAGAAAAAAUAUACAAAUGGCCAGCAGCGUAAACAGUGUUGUGUUCGUUGUUUUUUUGAUGAUCUUAUUGAUUUCUACAGAAAUACAAAAUGGACAUGCUCAAAGGCGGGAUAUAUAUUGUGAGAAAGUACGAAGCAAGAGGGCUCCACCUGACACUUGUAAUAAAAAAGAUGCUGAUGCAUUGUGCAAAAACACUUGUUGGACGAAAGAAACUUAUAUUGAAGGAAAAUGUCUACUACUUCCAAAGACUACAAAAAAAGCUUGCUACUGCUGGCAAUUCAAUUGUUAAUAAAAACCCUAAUUUGAUUAUGGUAUAAAACUAAUUCGCUUGUGUUCAAAAUAAUAAUAUGAGAAAUUUUGUCCUAUAUUCAUAGUAGGACUUAAAUUGAUUGUAUACCUAUAAUAAAUAAAGUGCUAUAAUGUUUGUGUAAUAAUUGAUGUAUUAUCCUUGACAUGAACACAUUUAUUUUUACGUGUGAACAAUUUUUUUUUCUUUUUACAAUUAUGAUUUCUCCAUCAAUUUUUAAUUGGUUUCAGUUCCUAUUAAAACAAUUAUGAUUUCUCCAUCUAUAGGUUUAAAACUUUCAAAACAAACAUAUAUUUUAUAAAUUUUAUACUCCCUCUGUUUCAAAAUACAUGAAGUUUUAAUAUUGUGCAUAACUAUUAAAAAAAUUGUUUUUUAUCUUAAAAAUAUCAUUAAAAUAUAAAUUAA